RNAcentral lists this ribosomal RNA (929 nucleotides) under uncultured organism. RNAcentral's name for it is "bacterial SSU rRNA". It matches the Rfam family "Bacterial small subunit ribosomal RNA", at positions 493 to 1432 of the family's 1533-position model. The record is from RNAcentral.
CCCGCUAACUACGUGCCACGCCGCGGUAAUACGUAGUGCGAGCGUAUCGGAAUUAUGGGCCUAGAGGUCGUAGGGGUAAUGUAAGUCCGGUGUGAAAUCUCGAGGCUCAACCUCGAAACUGCAUUGGAAACUGCAUUACUUGAGUGUCAGAGAGGAAGGCGGAAUUCCUGGUGUAGCGGUGGAAUGCGUAGAUAUCAGGAAGAACACCGACGGCGAAGGCAGCUUUCUGGCUGGCAACUGACCCUGAUGAACGAAAGCUAGGGUAGCGAACAGGAUUAGAUACCCUGGUAGUCCUAGCUGUAAACGUUGUGCACUGGAUGUGGGCGGAUUUGGUCCCGUCUGUGUCUGAGCGAAGGCGUUAAGUGCACCGCCUGGGGACUACGGCCGCAAGGCUAAAACUCAAAGGAAUUGACGGGGGCCCGCACAAGCGGUGGAGCAUGUGGCUCAAUUCGAGGCAACGCGAAGAACCUUACCUGGGUUUGACAUAUACCUGACCGCCGGUGAGAGCCGGUUUCUCUUUGAGCAGGUAUACAGGUGCUGCAUGGCUGUCGACAGCUCGUGCUGUGAAGUGUUCGGUUAAGUCCGGCAACGAGCGCAACCCACGCUGUUAGUUACCAUCAGGUAAUGCUGGGGACUCUAACAGGACUGCCCGUGCUAAGCGGGAGGAAGGCGUGGACGACGUCAAGUCCGCAUGGCCCUUACGCCCAGGGCUGCACACGUGCUACAAUGGCCGGUACAGAGGGUCGCCACUCUGCGAAGAGGAGCUAAUCCCGAAAACCGGCCUCAGUUCGGAUUGGAGUCUGCAACCCGACUCCAUGAAGUAGGAAUCGCUAGUAAAGGCGUAUCAGCAACGGCGCCUUGAAUCUGUUCCCGGGCCUUGUACACACCGCCCGUCACAUCAUGGAAGCCGGCUGCACCCGAAGUCGCUA